CCAGACUCCUACGGGAGGCAGCAGUGGGGAAUAUUGGGCAAUGGAGGAAACUCUUACCCAGCAAUGCCGCGUGAGUGAAGAAGGUCUUCGGAUUGUAAAGCUCUUUGAUUGGGGAUGAAUAAAUGACGGUACCCAAAGAACAAGCCCCGGCUAACUACGUGCCAGCAGCCGCGGUAAUACGUAGGGGGCGAGCGUUGUCCGGAAUGACUGGGCGUAAAGGGUGUGUAGGCGGUUUAUUAAGUUAGAAGUGAAAUACCUAGGGCUUAACCCAGGUGCUGCUUCUAAAACUGAUAGACUUGAGUGCAGUAGAGGAAAGUGGAAUUCCUAGUGUAGCGGUGGAAUGCGUAGAUAUUAGGAGGAACAUCAGUGGCGAAGGCAGCGUACCGGCGCCGGACUGACGCUGAGGCACGAAAGCGUGGGUAUCGAACAGGAUUAGAUACCCUCGUA
This 447-nucleotide ribosomal RNA is filed under the name uncultured bacterium. RNAcentral describes it as "bacterial SSU rRNA". It matches the Rfam family "Bacterial small subunit ribosomal RNA", at positions 331 to 792 of the family's 1533-position model. The record is from RNAcentral.